GCUAGCCUAGUGCAUGGUUGUACGAUCGUGUGAAGUGUGCUCUGCAACUCUAAGCCUAGGUACUUCGACGCUCGUCAGCAAACUCCUUUGUUCACAUCGUGAGGAUUUCGCUUGCCUGCGAUAGCCCCCACUCUGCCUUCGUCGUCCUCGCCGAUGGCAUCGAAGUGCGGAAAACAGUACCAUUGGUUAACGAUGGAGAAGAAAGCCGCCAUUAUUAAGUUAGUGAAGAGUGGCCGAUCGCAGGCUGACGUGAGCAAGGAGUUCGUUAUUUCCAAGCAAACAGUUUCCGGUUUUCUGAGGAACAAAGACAAGAUCUUGGAAGCGGCCGAAAAACCGUCUGGUGCCCAAAAGAUGAAUGCAAGCUAAGGUGUUCGUCCAAAGCUUGAGGACGCUCUCGUCGUGUGGCUUAAUUCAAUGAUUGCCAAGCGGUUGCCUGUCUCGGGCUGCAUCUUUAAACAAAAAGCGGAAACUCUCGCGCUUCGAAUGGACAUCACGGAUUUUAAGUUCAGUGAUGGAUGGCUGAGAAACUUUAAACACCGGAAUGACCUCAAGUUCAAGAAGAUGUGUGGCGAAAGCGGCACCGUCGACAGUGCAGUUAUUGCGCAGCACCGCAGUAGAAAACUCCAGUCUUUGUUGCAGCAGUUCUCUGCUGACAACAUUUUCAACUGCGACGAAACUGGCUUGUUUUACAAGCUGCUGCCGGAAAGAACACUCGCUUUUGAUAGUGACGCAUGCCAUGGUGGCAAGCAUAGCAAAGAACGGCUGACCGUUCUUGACGGCAGCAACAUGUCUGGCAGCGAGAAACUUCCUUUGUUAGUAAUUGGGAAGUCCAAGAGCUCGAGGUGUUUUAAAGGGGCAGCGCUGCCAAUGUUAUACGAAGCCAACAAAAAGGCAUGAGUAACCCAGCAGUUGUUCGAGAGUUACGUCUGCAGGUUGGACAGGAAGUUUGAACAACAGAACAGACGUGUUCUGCUCUUCGUUGACAACUGCACUGCUCAUAGUCACAUCAAUAACCUGAGGGCUAUCCAGCUGGAAUUCAUGCCGCCCAACACGACUGCGAUCCUACAACCGAUGAACUAAGGCGUUAUCCGUAAUCAAACUUUUGUACCGUUCACGUAUACUCAACCGCAUGGUGCUGUGCUCUGAAAACGGAAAAGGCUACAGCGUUGACCUUCGGUCUGCUGUCGGAAUGCUUGCGGAUGCAUGGAAGGCAGUAACUCAAGACACGCUUCGCAACUGCUUUCGCCACGCGGGCUUCGUACUCGACACAGAGGCAGCAGACUUGCCUGAAGAAAGCGAGAGUGUGACAGACUUGUGCCCUCUCAUGGACGAUAUUAUCAACGACCUCCGCUCUGCUGGUGCUACCCAUGCCCACGGAAAUAACCUUUGAGCGAUUCGUCGACGCUGACAAUGAGCUUGACUUCUGCGCAGAACUAACCGACGACGAAAUAGUCAGUCAGGUUGUGGUGGAUUCAGACGACUCCAAUGUCGAAAAAGAGGAACCAACGCCUGUGCCACCUACGACCGGGAAAUUGAUGCGAGCAUUGAUGACGCUGUCAUCGGUGUACAGUGAUGACAUGACCCUUGCUCAGAUUGAGGCGAAUAUGAUCACAUGCAAGUGGAACGUCAUUCAAACAAGGAUCAACGAGUUUUUCAAGCCACUGCAGCUCUAACACCGGCUGGCCUGACGGCACCCCCUGUCGGCUGCAUGCAUUUUUUUUUUUUAACGGCUGUUUUCAGAGCCACCUCUCUGAUGCUUUGGCAGUUCCGGAAGUCUGUUACUUCGACCUUGACCUUCUUGAUCCGAGAAAUAUCAAUGAAAUGGUAAGCUAUUUGUUCCUGAAGAAUGUCAGCAGUGCUAAAUAUGGUGUGGAUAAAAAGCCCCAUCAUAUUGUACUAAUGUGGUUACAAAGAAGUACUGCUGGGCCGCUGAGAACAAUUUUCCAUUUAAAAGCCUGCAAUUGUGCUGCUGCUUCUGCUUGAUGAGACAUACUCUGUUCAUAAAACUGAUGCAGCUGUUCCGGACGUAACAAAUGGAUGGCUCGUCUUUGCUUCAGAUCAAGAAGGUGCACCUAUGCGAGAAGGCAUGCCGCUACGAUAGACGACUUCAAGAGAAGCCCCAGCAACACUUCAGAAUCACAAGGGUUUGCGAAAUGGAAAAAUGGCAUAUUGCCUUCUAUAUAUUACGUGUAAAAUAAACCGGAAGCUCUAAAAAUGAAA
This is a long non-coding RNA of Rhipicephalus microplus (southern cattle tick), 2220 nucleotides long. RefSeq lists it as uncharacterized. The record is from RefSeq and is a predicted model, not a curated record. Lineage: Eukaryota; Metazoa; Arthropoda; Arachnida; Ixodida; Ixodidae.